UGGAUACUGCUUGCAUGCAUUGAGGAGUGCUAAGCAGAAACACAAUGUUUUGCAAGUGAAUAGCAGAUGGCAAAUGCAGUCAUUCAAAGGGCUCAUAUAGAAUCACCCCAUGCUGCUACAGUUAACUUGGUAUGGUGAACGAAGGAGAAGAAGACAGCCAUUUAUAGAUCAGGAAGUAAAUAAAACACACAGCCAAGCUGAGUCCAGUCUGAUGCAAAGCACAACAAAGGACAGGCAAGAGACAAAAUAUAGCAC
Pipra filicauda (Wire-tailed manakin) is the source of this 255-nucleotide long non-coding RNA. RefSeq lists it as uncharacterized. The record is from RefSeq and is a predicted model, not a curated record. The transcript has 3 exons. NCBI's taxonomy places the organism in Eukaryota, Metazoa, Chordata, Aves, Passeriformes, Pipridae.